UAAAAAGCUUCAAACUGGGAUUAGAUACCCCACUAUGCUUAGCCAUAAACCAAGACUCCAAAUUACAAUGGCGUCCGCCUGGAAACUACGAGCACUAGCUUAAAACCCAAAGGACCUGACGGUGUCUUAGAUCCCCCUAGAGGAGCCUGUUCUAGAACCGAUUAUCCUCGUUGAACCUCACCACUUCUAGUCUUGCCAGCCUAUAUACCGCCGUCGUCAGCUUACCCUGUGAAGGAAAAGAAGUAAGCAGAAUGGGCNCAGCCCAGUACGUCAGGUCGAGGUGUAGCAUAUGAAGCGGGAAGAAAUGGGCUACAUUCUCUGCAGUUAGAGUAUUACGAAUGCGCAACAUGAAACAUGUGCCAGAAGGAGGAUUUAGUAGUAAAAUGGAAACAGAGUGUCCUCCGCCCGUCGCCCUAUGCAGCUG
Molecule: ribosomal RNA, 424 nt
Filed under: Salmostoma sp. 3 YYS-2002
Lineage: Eukaryota; Metazoa; Chordata; Actinopteri; Cypriniformes; Danionidae
Description: partial 12S ribosomal RNA
Rfam family: Bacterial small subunit ribosomal RNA
Source: RNAcentral